This 77-nucleotide transfer RNA is filed under the name Holosporales bacterium. RNAcentral describes it as "tRNA-Arg". It matches the Rfam family "tRNA". Rfam says of the family: Transfer RNA (tRNA) molecules are approximately 80 nucleotides in length. Their secondary structure includes four short double-helical elements and three loops (D, anti-codon, and T loops). Further hydrogen bonds mediate the characteristic L-shaped molecular structure. tRNAs have two regions of fundamental functional importance: the anti-codon, which is responsible for specific mRNA codon recognition, and the 3' end, to which the tRNAs corresponding amino acid is attached (by aminoacyl-tRNA synthetases). tRNAs cope with the degeneracy of the genetic code in two manners: having more than one tRNA (with a specific anti-codon) for a particular amino acid; and 'wobble' base-pairing, i.e. permitting non-standard base-pairing at the 3rd anti-codon position. The record is from RNAcentral. Lineage: Bacteria; Pseudomonadati; Pseudomonadota; Alphaproteobacteria; Holosporales.
GUUCUCGUAGCUCAGCAGGAUAGAGCGUAGGAUUCCUAAUCCUGAGGUCGUGGGUUCAAUUCCCUCCGAGAACACCA